RNAcentral lists this long non-coding RNA (1810 nucleotides) under Homo sapiens (human). Its description in RNAcentral is "non-protein coding LINC01136:12". Lineage: Eukaryota; Metazoa; Chordata; Mammalia; Primates; Hominidae. The record is from RNAcentral.
AAGGACUGAGCGCAGCCAGCCAAGGUUGUGGGCUGUCUUUGCCCUUCUGUGUGAAUGGGGGUGUGGAGUGGGGAAAGUCGGGGGCCAGGGGCUGCGCUGGUGACACCUGCCUGAGCACUUCUGUCCUGGGGUGGGUGCAGGUGUUUGUGCUCUGGAGGACCUGCUCUUUGGGCGUCCAAAUGUGUUUCACAGCCUGUGCAUUUUGCCUGGUGGUGUCAAGGACGCAUAUGACAUGGACAGCCAUGGUGUGUAUUUUUACUGCAGAGCCCAGGGAUUUUCCCAUAGGUGUUUAAAGACAAUCACAUCUCCUAUUGAAACUCAAUCUCUUCUGUCCUGAAACAAGCAAAUAAAAAGAAAAACUGGCAUCUGUGUUUCCAGAGAAUCCCAGAAAGUCUCAGAAGAGGCACUGCUGUAAGGCGACUGGCUUCUCAUUAGCCAAGUGGCCUCCCCAUGUCUUCCCCAGACCAGUCAAAUAAAAAGGUCUGGCCUAGGGGCUGACGGAGAAGCAGCCUGAAAAACGAGGGUUUCCAGAGGCCUCCUGCCAGGCAGAGGCCAAGAAAAAAACAGAAAAGGAAGAGAAACUGCGAUGAGAACUCAGGGCUCAUCAUGGAGCCUUCACUGUCCUGGGGCAGGUUGGGGGAGGCGCUCUGAUUUCUGAGUCCAGCUGAGCACUCAGAUAAAGCCUGUUGGAGUGCUGUUCUCAGAGGCCUGCCUCGUCUCGCCUGAAAUUAUGGGUGUGCGUGCCUGCCUGUGGUGGGUUGGGGAGUAAAUUGGGUAGCUCAGCCUCCGGGGAAAGUCCCCAGGGCCUCCCAACCAUCCCUUCACACCCACAGUGCUUAGCCACCCACAUUCGCUCCUCUAUCUAAGGUCUACUUCCUCUCUCUACUUCCCCUGGCCCAGUCUCUCCACGGUAGAGAGUUGUCUGGGGGGACAACUCACCCCAUCCCCAAGCUCUGGGUGCUGUGAUAGAGUGGGAGUUUGAGGCAUGAAAAAUAGCUAGUGGCCCUCCUUGGCAGGGCAUUGGCCGAGGAUGUGGCAAGUUUGCUUUGGCUGUGGGCACGGUCCCUGUCUCUGAGGCUUACCCUCACGGUGGCUGGUGAACAUGGUUUUAUGCCUGGGAAUUUUAAAGGAUGUGGGAGGGGCCUUCCUUCCUCAGGAGCCAGUGUCCUGGGACUGGAUGAUACCAAAGGUGUUGAAGAAUAAAAACAAUGGGGUAAUGUUUGUGUUUCUGCCUGGACAGUACUGCAUAGCGGUUAUGGGUGGGCUUUGGGGUCAGAUGGGACCUUAGCUCUGCCACUUGCUGGUAGGUCUUCUGGCAAGUUCCUAACCUCUCUGAGCCUCAAUUUCCUUGUCUGAAAAAUAGAAGUAAAAGUAUUAAUCGUAUUGAUUCUUUUUUUUUUAGGCAGGGUCUCACUCUGUCACCCCAGGCUGGAGUGCAGUGGCAGGAUCACAGCUCACUGCAGCCUUGACCUUCUGGGCUCACGCGAUUCUCCCACCUCAACCUCUGGAGUAGCUGGGACCACAGGCAGGCAACAUCACACCUGGCUAAUUUUUUGGGUAUUUUUUUGUAGAGAUGGGGUUUUGCCAUGUUGCCCAGGCUGGUCUGAAACUUCUUGAGCUCAAGCAAUCCAUCUGCCUCGGCCUCCCAAAGUGCUGGAAUUAUAGGCAUGAGCCACCGCACCUGGCCUGUAUUGUUCUUUUGAAGAUAAAAGGAGAUCACGUUUAUUAAGCAUUCUGCACAUAUGUUCACUCUUUCCACAAUAUUUGCACACCCAGCGCAUAGUAAACACAUUAAAUAGUGGCUUUUAUU